UACGGGGGGGGCAAGCGUUGUUCGGAAUUACUGGGCGUAAAGGGCUCGUAGGCGGCCAACUAAGUCAUACGUGAAAUCCCUCGGCUUAACCGGGGAACUGCGUCUGAUACUGGAUGGCUUGAGUUCGGGAGAGGGAUGCGGAAUUCCAGGUGUAGCGGUGAAAUGCGUAGAUAUCUGGAGGAACACCCGUGGCGAAAGCGGCUCUCUGGGACGGUACUGACGCUGAGACGCGAAAGCGUGGGGAGCGAACGGG
This 253-nucleotide ribosomal RNA is filed under the name uncultured bacterium. RNAcentral's name for it is "partial 16S ribosomal RNA". It matches the Rfam family "Bacterial small subunit ribosomal RNA", at positions 524 to 776 of the family's 1533-position model. The record is from RNAcentral.